AGCAUAUCAAUAAGCGGAGGAAAAGAAACUAACAAGGAUUCCCCUAGUAACUGCAAGUGAAGCGGGAAAAGCUCAAAUUUAAAAUCUGGCAGUCUCUGAUUGUCCGAGUUGUAAUUUAGAGAAGUGUUACCCAUGCUGGACCAUGUAUAAGUCUUUUGGAAUGGAGCGUCAUAGAGGGUGAGAAUCCUGUCUUUAACAUGGACUACCAGUGCAUUGUGGUAUGCUCUCAAUGAGUCGAGUUGUUUGGGAAUGCAGCUCAAAAUGGGUGGUAAAUUCCAUCUAAAGCUAAAUACAGACGAGAGACCGAUAGCGAACAAGUACCGUGAGGGAAAGAUGAAAAGAACUUUGGAAAGAGAGUUAAACAGUAUGUGAAAUUGCUGAAAGGGAAACGCUCGAAGUUAGUCACAUUGGCUUGAGAUCAACCUGGCAUUGCUUGGUGUAUUCUCUUGUUAAUGGGUCAACAUCAGUUUUGACUACUGGAUAAGAGUUGAAGGAAUGUGGCUCCUUUAGGAGUGUUAUAGCCUUUAGCUGUAUACAGUGGUUGGGACUGAGGAUCUCAGCAUGCCUUUAUGGCCGGGUUUCGACCNCGUACGUGCUUAGGAUGUUGGCAUAA
RNAcentral lists this ribosomal RNA (613 nucleotides) under uncultured fungus. Its description in RNAcentral is "eukaryotic LSU rRNA". It matches the Rfam family "Eukaryotic large subunit ribosomal RNA", at positions 37 to 634 of the family's 3401-position model. The record is from RNAcentral. Lineage: Eukaryota; Fungi.